GAUGAACGCUGGCGGCGUGCCUAAUACAUGCAAGUCGAGCGAACGGACGUGAAGCUUGCUUCUCUGAUGUUAGCGGCGGACGGGUGAGUAACACGUGGAUAACCUACCUAUAAGACUGGGAUAACUUCGGGAAACCGGAGCUAAUACCGGAUAAUAUUUUGAACCGCAUGGUUCAAAAGUGAAAGACGGUCUUGCCGUCACUUAUAGAUGGAUCCGCGCUGCAUUAGCUAGUUGGUAAGGUAACGGCUUACCAAGGCAACGAUGCAUAGCCGACCUGAGAGGGUGAUCGGCCACACUGGAACUGAGACACGGUCCAGACUCCUACGGGAGGCAGCAGUAGGGAAUCUUCCGCAAUGGGCGAAAGCCUGACGGAGCAACGCCGCGUGAGUGAUGAAGGUCUUCGGAUCGUAAAACUCUGUUAUUAGGGAAGAACAUAUGUGUAAGUAACUGUGCACAUCUUGACGGUACCUAAUCAGAAAGCCACGGCUAACUACGUG
RNAcentral lists this ribosomal RNA (497 nucleotides) under uncultured bacterium. Its description in RNAcentral is "partial 16S ribosomal RNA". It matches the Rfam family "Bacterial small subunit ribosomal RNA", at positions 28 to 507 of the family's 1533-position model. The record is from RNAcentral.